This 609-nucleotide ribosomal RNA is filed under the name uncultured bacterium. RNAcentral describes it as "bacterial SSU rRNA". The stretch from base 1 to 532 matches the Rfam family "Bacterial small subunit ribosomal RNA", at positions 338 to 873 of the family's 1533-position model. The record is from RNAcentral.
CCUACGGGAGGCAGCAGUAAGGAAUAUUGGUCAAUGGACGCAAGUCUGAACCAGCCAUGCCGCGUGAAGGAUUAAGGCCCUCUGGGUUGUAAACUUCUUUUAUAGGGGACGAAAAAAGGGCAUUCUUGCUCACUUGACGGUACCCUAGGAAUAAGCACCGGCUAACUCCGUGCCAGCAGCCGCGGUAAUACGGAGGGUGCAAGCGUUAUCCGGAUUUACUGGGUUUAAAGGGUGCGUAGGUGGGUUGGUAAGUCAGUGGUGAAAUCUUCGAGCUUAACUCGGAAACUGCCAUUGAUACUAUCAAUCUUGAAUCAUCUAGAGGUAAGCGGAAUAUGUCAUGUAGCGGUGAAAUGCUUAGAUAUGACAUAGAACACCAAUUGCGAAGGCAGCUUACUAUGGAUGUAUUGACACUGAGGCACGAAAGCGUGGGGAUCAAACAGGAUUAGAUACCCUGGUAGUCCACGCCCUAAACGAUGGAUACUCGACAUUUGUGAUAUACUAUAAGUGUCUGAGCGAAAGNAUAGUAUCCACCNGGAGUAACGACCGCGAGUUAGUAAGUUACAAUAGAGUUGNGGNGNGAGAGNGCGAGGACGACGACGAGGGAGGAGG